GAUGAACGCUGGCGGCGUGCCUAAUACAUGCAAGUCGAGCGAACGGACGAGAAGCUUGCUUCUCUGAUGUUAGCGGCGGACGGGUGAGUAACACGUGGAUAACCUACCUAUAAGACUGGGAUAACUUCGGGAAACCGGAGCUAAUACCGGAGGAUAUUUUGAACCGCAGGGUUCAAAAGUGAAAUACGGUCUUGCUGUCUCGUAUAGAUGGAUCGGCGCUGCAUUAGCUAGUUGGUAAGGUAACGGCUUACCAAGGCAACGAUGCAUAGACGACCUGGGGGGGGGGUCGGCCACCCGGGAGCUGAGACGCCGUCCUGGCUCCUGCGGGAAGCCGCAGUCGGGAACCUUCGGCAAUGGGCGAAAACCUGACGGAACGACGCCGCGUCAGUGAUGAAGGUCUUCGGAUCGUAAAACUCUGUUACUAGGGAAGAACAUAUGUGUCAGUAACUGUGCACAUCUUGACGGUACCUAAUCAGAAAGCCACGGCUAACUACGUG
RNAcentral lists this ribosomal RNA (497 nucleotides) under uncultured bacterium. RNAcentral describes it as "partial 16S ribosomal RNA". It matches the Rfam family "Bacterial small subunit ribosomal RNA", at positions 28 to 507 of the family's 1533-position model. The record is from RNAcentral.